GACGUAGGAUGCAAGCGUUGUCCGGAUUUAUUGGGCGUGAAGAGUUCGUAGGCGGUUUGUUAAGUCUGAUGUUAAAGACUGGGGCUCAACCCUUGGAGUGCAUUGGAUACUGGCGGACUGGAGUACAGUAGAGGCAAGCGGAAUUCCCAGUGUAGCGGUGAAAUGCGUAGAUAUUGGGAAGAACACCGGUGGCGCAGGCGGCUUGCUGGGCUGUAACUGACGCUGAGGAACGAAAGCUAGGGUAGCGAAUGGG
This 253-nucleotide ribosomal RNA is filed under the name uncultured bacterium. RNAcentral describes it as "partial 16S ribosomal RNA". It matches the Rfam family "Bacterial small subunit ribosomal RNA", at positions 524 to 776 of the family's 1533-position model. The record is from RNAcentral.